RNAcentral lists this ribosomal RNA (426 nucleotides) under uncultured bacterium. RNAcentral describes it as "bacterial SSU rRNA". It matches the Rfam family "Bacterial small subunit ribosomal RNA", at positions 354 to 777 of the family's 1533-position model. The record is from RNAcentral.
GUGAGGAAUAUUGGUCAAUGGGCGAGAGCCUGAACCAGCCAAGUAGCGUGCAGGAUGACGGCCCUAUGGGUUGUAAACUGCUUUUAUGCGGGGAUAAAGUGCGCGACGUGUCGUGCAUUGCAGGUACCGCAUGAAUAAGGACCGGCUAAUUCCGUGCCAGCAGCCGCGGUAAUACGGAAGGUCCGGGCGUUAUCCGGAUUUAUUGGGUUUAAAGGGAGCGUAGGCCGCCAGGUAAGCGUGUUGUGAAAUGUACCGGCUCAACCGGUGAAUUGCAGCGCGAACUGUCUGGCUUGAGUGCACGGUAAGCAGGCGGAAUUCAUGGUGUAGCGGUGAAAUGCUUAGAUAUCAUGAAGAACUCCGAUUGCGAAGGCAGCUUGCUGCAGUGCGACUGACGCUGAUGCUCGAAGGUGCGGGUAUCAAACAGGA